GACGAACGCUGGCGGCGUGCUUAACACAUGCAAGUCGAGCGGAAAGGCCCUUUCGGGGGUACUCGAGCGGCGAACGGGUGAGUAACACGUGAGUAAUCUGCCCCUGGCUUUGGGAUAGCCACCGGAAACGGUGAUUAAUACCGGAUACGACCACUUCUCGCAUGGGAUGGUGGUGGGAAGUUUUUCGGCCAGGGAUGUGCUCGCGGCCUAUCAGCUUGAUGGUGAGGUAAUGGCUCACCAUGGCUUCGACGGGUAGCCGGCCUGGGAGGGUGACCGGUCACACUGGGACUGAGACACGGCCCAGACUCCUACGGGAGGCAGCAGUGGGGAAUAUUGGACAAUGGGCGGAAGCCUGAUCCAGCAACGCCGCGUGAGGGAUGACGGCCUUCGGGUUGUAAACCUCUUUCAGCAGGGACGAAGCGCAAGUGACGGUACCUGCAGAAGAAGCACCGGCCAACUACGUGCCAGCAGCCGCGGUAA
This 480-nucleotide ribosomal RNA is filed under the name uncultured bacterium. RNAcentral's name for it is "partial 16S ribosomal RNA". It matches the Rfam family "Bacterial small subunit ribosomal RNA", at positions 28 to 523 of the family's 1533-position model. The record is from RNAcentral.